CUGAGCCAAAGGCAGAAGCUUAACGACUGAGCCACUCAGGCGUCCCUAUACUCUUUCCUAUAUAUACCUAUGAUGAAGUUUAACUUACAAAUUAGGCAUGGCAAGAGAUUAAUAAUAACAACUAAUAGUAAAAUACAACUGUAACAGUAUACUGUAAUAAAAGUUGCAUGAAUGUGGUCACAAAAUUUCUUAUACUGUAGCCAUCUUCCUUGUGAUAUGAGAUGGUAAAAUACCUAUGUGAUAUGAAGUAUGGUAAAUGAUGUAGGCAUUGUGAUGUAGUGUUAGGCUACUACUGACCUGAGGAUAGGUCAGAAAGGGGAUCAUCUGCUUCUGGAUCGUGGUUGGCACAGGUUACUAAAAUUGUGGAAAGUGAGUAGUGAAUAAGGGCAUGCUACCAUAGUAACUCUUUCUAACUCAAUGCUAAAUAACAUUCCAGAAUUUUUAAUUUGCUCCUGUUAUCUAUGCCAACAAAAAGAUACAUAAAAGAGGAAGUUGUAAGAAUUUAUAAGACUGAUAGUUAUCUCUGGGAAAUGGAGCUAGAUGAUUAGAGAAUGACACUAUAGGGUUUUUUCUUUUUGUACCAUGAGUUUAUAAUAAACACACUGGGUUCUUAUCCAAUCACUAUCAUCAAACCACUGUUACAGUUUUAAAUCCAUUAUGUCCCAGCUGACUACUCUCCAGGAUAAAAUCUAAAAACUUGAGUAUAUAAGGCCCUGCAUGAGCUGGUUCCUUCUUUAUUCAGCCUUAUCUCCUAACCAUCAUAUGAUUUAUCUUGAUACACACAGUUACUUUUUAAGUUUUGGAUACUUUGUGUUACAAUCUAUUGUUCUGCAAGGACUGAUGAAUUCCUUCUUACCAAGGUAAGGUUCAUUGGAAUGGAGGGGAUGAGAAAGUCAGGGACCAUUCAUUACUGAUCCCAUCAAACAAAGGGGUAGGAAGGAUGCACCCUUGUUUUGACAAGACAAUAGAAAACCCAAUCUAAAAGCCCACGAAAAAGAUCUCUACCAAGUUCUACCAAUCAGAGAUGUUUCUCUGGGAAAGCUGUUCAGUUAACUUAAAUUCAGUGUUUACAUGAAAAAAACAAAAAGUGGUUUAAUUCUGUGAUGGAACAUACAGGUGAAUGGGCCUGGGAAAGAGAGACGUAAUUAAGAACAAUAAGGAGAAUACUGGGCACAGAGGUAUCAGGAAGAAUUUUAUGUUGCUACUUUGCUAAGGAAAUAAAGCUAUUUUCAUAUAAGUCCUAAGUAAUGCCAAAAACAAAGAUGUUUAAGGGCAUUAUUAGCAUUUUAUGUAAAGAGAUAAAUUAUCAAAAUAACCACCUGAAAGAGCAUAAGUGCCUCUGAAGAGGGGAAUUGGGAGGGAGGGCUGGGAACCAUUGUUUUUUAAAACUUAUGGAAUGGCUUUUGAAACAACAUGCAUGUGCAGUUUUGAUAAAAACAAUUAGCAUAUGGAGAAACAGAGACAAUCAAGUCUGUUGGCCACUGUGGUUAAAGCAGAUGAAGCAGAUACCCAACCUAGAAUUAGUAGCAGGUGUCGGAAACCUCAUCAACAAAUGACAGAGGUUCAAUUAAAAAUUUCAAUGUUACUAGACCACCGGCACCUUGCUUUUACAGAUAAGGAAACCAAGGUACAAGGUUAUACAGUUCACUAAGGAUCAGAGCCAGUUACAGAAGCUGAGCCUGAAGUUUCUCAUCUUUUGAAUCUGGCUUGGCUUUGCGACUUGCUUUGACCAAAAGAAUGUGGCGGAAGUGACAGUGAGCCAACUACAGACAUAGUAAGUUUUAAGCCACUGAGUUUUAAGGUGGCGGUUACACAGAAUUUGCUGAUAGAGUUGUGUUUAUAUAAAAAUCAGGUUAAAAUAGGUCAUAAAAGAAUAAAAACAGAUUUGAGGUACAGUAUAAUUCAUGUAAUUAGAAAAGACACAAACUGGGCCAUUUAAAACAACUCCGAAGAGAACUCUUGUCUGACAUUGUUCCUGAACAUCCAAAGACUAAUGUCAGGUGAGCUCACUACUGACUCUUAGUGGGAAUACAAGUCUCCUAGGAAUAGAAUCUUCAGGUCCAAUUCAAGGACCUUAGGUAGAUGUGUCCAAAGGAGGGAUCACAUCCGCUGAGAAGAUGAGGGGAUUUGCUAGUUCCCAGUCCUUUAGGGAUCCUUCUGAGUGGACAGAGGAUGGAACAAAGGCUGAUUCUUGUUCAUUAGAAGGGGAUCCUCUUCAACCCUCAUCAGCAUUUUAUCUCAAUCUUUGAGAUUGGAAACAGGUUAUCAAGAACCUGCCACUUAAAAGAUUCAUUCUUUUGGACUGGGAAUGAGAAUUCAGACAACCCAGUCUUUCUCUAAAACAUUCUGUAAACACACAGCACAGAAAUGGAAUGCUAGAAAACCUCAAAUUAUAAAAAUGGAAUGAAACCAAGCUCCUAAACUAACCAAACAACAUACACAAAUAUUUGACUUCCAGUAUAGCAACACAUCUGGGCAGAAACCAGACUUGAUUUAAUUAUAACUCCAACUCAAGUGGCUGUAAA
This is a non-coding RNA of Callorhinus ursinus (northern fur seal), 2525 nucleotides long. The record is from RefSeq and is a predicted model, not a curated record. Lineage: Eukaryota; Metazoa; Chordata; Mammalia; Carnivora; Otariidae.